Molecule: ribosomal RNA, 168 nt
Filed under: uncultured Anaerostipes sp.
Lineage: Bacteria; Bacillati; Bacillota; Clostridia; Lachnospirales; Lachnospiraceae
Description: partial 16S ribosomal RNA
Rfam family: Bacterial small subunit ribosomal RNA
Source: RNAcentral
UCUACGGGAGGCAGCAGUGGGGAAUAUUGCACAAUGGGGGAAACCCUGAUGCAGCGACGCCGCGUGAGUGAAGAAGUAUUUCGGUAUGUAAAGCUCUAUCAGCAGGGAAGAAAAUGACGGUACCUGACUAAGAAGCCCCGGCUAACUACGUGCCAGCAGCCGCGGUAA